UGAGGAAUAUUGGUCAAUGGGCGCAGGCCUGAACCAGCCAAGUAGCGUGAAGGAUGACUGCCCUAUGGGUUGUAAACUUCUUUUAUAAAGGAAUAAAGUCGGGUAUGUAUACCCGUUUGCAUGUACCUUAUGAAUAAGCAUCGGCUAACUCCGUGCCAGCAGCCGCGGUAAUACGGAGGAUGCGAGCGUUAUCCGGAUUUAUUGGGUUUAAAGGGAGCGUAGACGGGCCGUUAAGUCAGCUGUGAAAGUUUGAGGCUCAACCUUAAAAUUGCAGUUGAUACUGGCGUCCUUGAGUACGGUUGAGGCAGGCGGAAUUCGUGGUGUAGCGGUGAAAUGCUUAGAUAUCACGAAGAACCCCGAUUGCGAAGGCAGCCUGCUAAACCGCCACUGACGUUGAGGCUCGAAAGUGUGGGUAUCAAACAGGAUUAGAUACCCUGGUAGUCCACACGGUAAACGAUGGAUACUCGCUGUUGGCGAUAGACUGUCAGCGGCUUAGCGAAAGCGUUAAGUAUCCCACCUGGGGAGUACGCCGGCAACGGUGAAACUCAAAGGAAUUGACGGGGGCCCGCACAAGCGGAGGAACAUGUGGUUUAAUUCGAUGAUACGCGAGGAACCUUACCCGGGCUUGAAUUGCAGACGAAUUGCUUGGAAACAGGCAAGCCGCAAGGCGUCUGUGAAGGUGCUGCAUGGUUGUCGUCAGCUCGUGCCGUGAGGUGUCGGCUUAAGUGCCAUAACGAGCGCAACCCUCGUGUCCAGUUACUAGCAGGUUAUGCUGAGGACUCUGGACAGACUGCCAUCGUAAGAUGUGAGGAAGGUGGGGAUGACGUCAAAUCAGCACGGCCCUUACGUCCGGGGCUACACACGUGUUACAAUGGGGGGUACAGCAGGCAGCUACCGGGCGACCGGAUGCCAAUCCCGAAAGCCUCUCUCAGUUCGGACUGGAGUCUGCAACCCGACUCCACGAAGCUGGAUUCGCUAGUAAUCGCGCAUCAGCCACGGCGCGGUGAAUACGUUCCC
RNAcentral lists this ribosomal RNA (1017 nucleotides) under uncultured bacterium. Its description in RNAcentral is "bacterial SSU rRNA". It matches the Rfam family "Bacterial small subunit ribosomal RNA", at positions 355 to 1375 of the family's 1533-position model. The record is from RNAcentral.